AAAGUAGAUGGCUGCACUCACGGUCUUCCAAGAAAAAAUUUACUUUUAAUAAAAGUAACUUUUUACUUGGAAGACCGUGAGUGCAGCCAUCUACUU
Molecule: non-coding RNA, 96 nt
Organism: Pelobates cultripes (western spadefoot toad)
Lineage: Eukaryota; Metazoa; Chordata; Amphibia; Anura; Pelobatidae
Source: the annotation of a GenBank genome assembly